UAGGCUUGGGAAAAUCUGGCAAACACUUAAGAAGGGAGGGGCUGUGAUGACAUAAAAAGAUCUUUUCAGGCGGAGAUUUAAUGAAACCACAUGUAGAGAUGAUGUCAGUGUUAUUUCUGCAGUUUUUAUGGAAAAGACUUCAAUAUUUGUCUUUUUCUGUUGCAUAAAUGGUGUGUAAUGCAUCAGGAAAAGAAGGGAAAUAGAUCUUAAAGCCAUUUCAAUCUCAAACAAACCCAAAGUCUUUCGCUUUACAAAACGUUUUAAGCCCAAAUCUACAUGAGAAUCAAUAAUUUAUCUGCACAAAGGCAAGCUAACAGGCACAUUUCUGCAGAUCUGCCCAAAAAGCCCAUUAAAGCGACAGUCUAAUCAGGCCCAGGAGACGUCAGCUCUGCUUCUGCAGCUUGCCUAUCACCUCAUUCAUUAGCACGCAUUCUGCGACCACAUGCUACAGCUGUGUUCCUGCCUCUCCCAGUGAUAACAUAUCCAGCAGGCUUUGUCCCAGGCUGUGCUCGACGCGUCGCAUAAAGCAGUUUAUGUAUGACUACAGCGAUUUCUUGUGCCCCACAGUGAUGCUUGUGGACGGCCCGUCAGCUGGUGUAAAUGCACCGCUCACAGACUAACGCAGGCUUUCACGUUUCAGUGGGAAAUGGACGUAUGGGAGAGAAGGGGAUUUGCAUAAUUAGGUGCUGCGCUGUGCUUUAUAUAUGUAGAAGUUAAGGAAGACACAGUGGGGUUCUUAAAGCAUAAUGAGCUUAGUCUAAAGACGUCUUUGCAAUCUGAACAGGGAUGAUUUUUGACAUUAGCUGACACUUGGCUGGUUAGGAGUAAGAAUUAAUCAAUGAGCGGGAUAGUUUAUAAUGGGAUCGAGCUGCUCAAUUAAGAAUGUAUAUAUAAACUGUUGUAUUUAAACCAAAAGAAAUGAGAAUAAGAAUGAGUUUGAGCUUCUAGUCAUAGGUCUGCAUUAUUUAUUUAUUUAUUCGGAAUCAGGGAGACCUGCAUUAAGACAAUAAGUGUAUAGAUUGUAUUAUUUUAAGCAACAUCAUAAUGUUUUAAAUCACUUUGUAACGUACCCCACUGUAUCACAUUAUGUGUUACACUAUUGUAUGUUAUUGUAUCGUACGAUGUCAUAUUAUUGCAUGGCGUCAUAUCCGGUGGUGUUAUAUCUCCUUUAUUGUGCAGUAUGAUAUCAAAUAGUAAGCUAUUGCAUUGUAAUGUAAUGGUUUGGGGUUUUUCAAUGGGGUUUCUUGUUGUAUCCCAUUUUAUUGUAUUGCAUCAUAUAGCCUCCCACAUAGACUGUAUGUACUUUGGACAUCUUGGUUCCGCCUUCCGCCAGUAUACGGAUUAAAAGCCGAAAAGCUCUCAGUAUUUUCGCAAUUUUUCUCCAUUUCUUGAAACCAACAUCACGCAGAAGCGUUGUAUGCACUAAAUCACUUGCACAGUAGGGUGGUACGCAUUUGGCGGGAGAGUCGCCGAGAGUCGCUGUGCCGACGCUUGGCUCAAACAGCGUAUCCCCGGGGUGAGCUAUGCAAUCUCUGUACCCCCAUAGGCUGUAUCAGGUGUCAAUCAUAGAAAACAUGAACCCCCUAAUGACUUUAAAAAUGAAGUUGUGCAGAAAAAAGAGGACUUGAGCACAAACCAGUCUUACUGUAACUACAUGUCAACAUCACAAGCAAGAGGGAGAAAAAUUUAUAUUCUGUGUAAUAAAUUUCUUAAGUUUGUCCACAACUCCAUUAAUUUUGCUGGAGGAGGCGGGAUUUAUGACCUAUACUGCAGCCCGUCACCAGAGGGUGCUGUUCUCACGGUGGCUUCAGCAAGCGAGGAGGCAGACGGCGUCCUUUCUAUAUACAGUUUAUUAGGGGUGGGAGAAAAAUUCAAUUUACAUAAGUAUUGAAAUUUUUUGUUUUACAAUUUAUUUAUUUUUUAUUACAUUUUUUCCAAAUUUAAGAAUAAUCUUAAAAACUGACUUACAUGUGUAUUUUUGGGGGAAAUAUGGUUCCUGGAAUAGUUAGUAGACAAUCAUAAUCAUUCAACUGUUUCACUCUUGUUAAAAAUGCAGACUAAAUAUCGAGAAAAUCGACAAUAUCGUAGAAUCGCAAUUUAAGUCGAAUUGGCACCCAAAACAUCGUACAAAAAUCGAAUCGGGAGAAAAGCAUAUCAUUCCAGCUCUACAGUCUAUGGCCUCCCAUCGUAUUUAUAGAGGUAUCACACUGUAUUGUUUUGUAUUGCAGGGUAUCACAAGAACCAUAGUUUCAUACACUGUUGUAUUGCAGUAGCUGCCAUUGAUCGUAUUGUGUGAUAUCUCAUGUCACUGUAGUCCACGGUUUUGUAUCAUAUCUUAAAAUGGGCUGUACCAUCGUCUCACCUUGAAGACAUUUAGAGCUGGCGAGCCAUCCUCAAUCUGCUCUGGACCCACUUCAACUCUCUAAAAUUAGUUCGGGUGACCAAUUUCUUAAUCUAAUCUUUUCCUAACUUCUAAAUUUUUACUUGAAUCACUUUGAUAAAAGUGUCCUCAAUUAGUAAUUUCUCAAAGAUUGCCUCUGAGGUAUUUCUAAAAUUGGUGCCAGCUCUAUCUUCUCUCAAAAUUAAAUGGGAUACAAAUCUUUUCCCUUUUCACUGACUCCAGGCAGGAACAGGUUUUUCUCAAACAGGCUUUUGAAGCUAAUUAAAUCUUGCCUCCGUGUGCACAGGCCACAGCUGUAUGCUCCUCCGCUUUGGGCAGGAAGAGCAGGGGAGUCGCCCGAAUCCAUCCAUCUUCAUCCUUGUCAAUUAUGCCGUCAGCGGGCCGCACAUCUUCAUUUCCAAUGUGGGCACUGUCUCAAAGUACUUCCCAAAGUCACCGUAAUCCAAUUAUAUUCUGGCAUUCACUGUGAUACAGCCCAUUAGAAAAGGCUUAAUCAAUGUGAGGUCUUCAUUAAAGCAAUUUAUGAAUAUUCAUCAUGACACCCAGUUCGAUAUUUUAUGGGUACUUGAAGCGGACCAUUUCCCCCCAUGGCGCCAUAACAUAACCUGGCUAUAGUUUUAAUGGCAGCUCUUUAAAUGGAGGGGUAAUGCACUCUAUUAUUAGCUAAUAUGAGGCUCUCUCCUCUUGAAACACAAUUAAAUCCUCUGAUGAUACUUCACAGCCGGGGCCGAACACAAAAGGAAAUGUUUAGUAUUAGAGAGGUGUAUUCAGGGCUUUUGACUCUGUGAUGGUCCCACUUAGGUGUCUUCACACUUAUUCUUCAGGGCACUGUGCAUAAAUAGCUAAUUGCUCUGCAGCCCUCAAAUUGGUUCCCUCAACAGAGAAUAACAAACAGCCAAUAACUCAUUCAGAGCCAAGUAUCCAUUACAAGUGCUUUCCCCUUUAUCUAGAGGGAGACCACACACACACACACACACACACACACACACACACACACACACACACACACACACACACAAACAGACUAAACUCAGACUCUGCUUCAAAAGCCACUGCUGAUUUCAGUCCCUUUUUUUCCCCACUUUUAACUUAAUAGACUAAUCCAUCACAAAAAUGCCACACGAGGCAGACCUCACAGAUAAACGGGGCGGUUUCUUGGACUGCAUGUGAAGAAGUUCCUGAUUAUUCGUAGGACUAGCCUAUCAUUAUGGAAAAUAGCUGCCUAAGAACUGACAUCACAGUCUGCGUCGCCGUGUAAUCUCUCUAAUUCGCCGUUUUUAUGAAUAUUUACAAUCAGCCUCUUCUUCUUUUAGUAAUCUCUUUCGUCUUAAAACGCUGCCGGUCCUCGCUGUUAUUACAGUCAUUACGGGUUUAAUUGUCAGCCCUUUAGCUCACCAGUGGGCUCACCUCUGCUCUCUAAUGGAGGGUUUCUGGGAUAUGAUGUUCCUCCAGGGCUGAUAAAAACAGCAGCAGUGAAACAAACACAUAAGACCGCUCUUCAAAAACCGCAAUUCCUGUGGAGAAAAUGAGCAAAACAGCAUCAAAGUAAAAAGGUUCAGUCAGUACAUUUACCUGACCUUUGAAAAGUGAUGAAUCGCAUCGGUCCGACUAAAACCAGACUUUAAAAGACAUGUAAACAUGCUCGUCUGGCUGAAAUUACAUGUGGGUCAAAGUCAGACUAACAUAUCUUUGAGGAUGGAUUUUCAGCUCUACAGUUCACAAGCCAGACUUUGACUUGGACUUCAAGCAGCAUAAAUCCAUAGAGGGAUGUCGGGAAGUAAACAAAAUCUCAACAAAAGUAGGAGGAAAGUAAACAAGAUGAAGCUAUAAACAUGGUCCAGGGAUAUUCCGGCGUCAAAUUAAUUUAGGGUCAAACACAGCCUAACGACAAGUUAGACACCACCUCGAGAGAUGAAUGUUGCUGACCGCUUGCUUCUCUAGUUAUACCAAUUUUAGUAAUGACCGCACGAUAGCAAUACUCACCUUACCAAAACGCCACUCUAUAGCCACAAAUAAUGCUCAGAACAGCACCUAACUUCAUCAACAGUACAUAUAGGGUCCUAGCCAUAGUACUAGUCACCAAACAUCUUUUUAACUUUCUCUAACUUCUUUAGCAAAGAGACCAAACACAGCUCACCUACUCUCUUCCAGCAUGCGCUUGUUUGUAGCGAGAUCUCAGGCCAGUCAAUUACGGACUUUGUCACUUCUUAAUGGAAAUGCAAUCAGACCGAGACGCUAAGGCAAAAGAACUACUGCGUCUGCAGUGCAAAAUGGUUAACAUGAUAAUUAUUACUUAAAGGAAAUGAUAAAAGUUAUGAUCAUGAAUGUUCUUCCCUGAGCUGCGUCACUCCACAGCAGUCCGUAAUGGACUGGCCCAAGGUCUCACUACAAACAACGGGCUGCUGGAAGAGAGUAGGUGACUUUGGCUUUUGUCAUUUAUGGCACCCCCCUGUGGUCACAGCAUUUAUAAGUUGUGACAUACUAACAGGCUUAAGACGUGUGUUUUGGCCAAAAAUUUUAUCCUGCUGACUUUUUACACUCAAAUAUAUCAGUAGUUUUGAAUAUCUUAAGAUGAAAUUGUAAAAAACAUGGCUGACACCUACCCCCCAGCACUGGUUUCAGGCAUCAAAAAUGACUAUAUACAAGUUGUCAAUGUUGUCCCUGGUGGUCUUGCCUGCUUUGGGGUAACAGGUAGCAUCUUUAACAUGAAUUUCACUAUGUUUCAUAAAUGUCAAAAAACUCCUUACAGGUGCUUUAAAUAUGCAUAUAAACAAUUAGAGUUAUUGUGCAGUUUUGGAUUCGGUUCAUGGUAUAAAACCCGCAGGUUCUGGCUCCUGGUUCUUUAUUUCACGUCCUUUGAUUAAAUCUGUAGCGCCCUCAUAUCUACUCCUUUAAAAAGAACGUUGAGCUUGUGUAGUUAGCUUCACAGAAUACAGCUUUGCUUUUUUUCCCCAGAGGUAAAACAAAAUCCAUUUAACAGCACCUCCAAAGCUCUGAUAUUGAGACUUCAUGUCUUUGUUACGCAAAUGCAAAAAUCAAUGAGUGCAAGAAAGUGUGGUUUUAAAUGGGUUUAUCAGGGGAGCUGUUUCUCAUCAGGGAGGCGGUUUUCUCAGAACAGCCAUUGAUUGAGUUUCAUAAUUGAAGUAACUAGAUGUUAUGCUGCUUAUAGGUGAUGAUGCUCUGUUUUUAUGAGCUUUUUGCUGCUAUUUGUUUGAGCUGGGGACUAGGAUUUUUGUUACAUGACCAUUGAAAGAGGGACUUCAGUGUUCAGAGCCAAGCUAGGGCGUCUCUUUGGGUAACUUUCCAUGACGAAAUCAAACAAAGUAAAAAAUUUGAAGCCUCCACUCAUCCAUUAUCUUAUUAAAUUAGGGGUCCUGGAGGGCCACUGGAGCCCAUCCCAGCUGUCAUUAAGCAAAGGGUAGGUCACUGAAAUGUUUUUGAUGCAGGCCAGACUUUGUAAUUCAAACAUUGUGAAUUAAUUAUCAUAGUUUGUCCUCAUACUUGAACCACAGAUUGGAGACUUUCUUGAAAAUGACUCUCAGCAUCUCAGCCGUUAGUCCCAUUUGUCUGCUCUGUGUAAAUGUGCUUUCUGAUUUGUAAUUUGAAAUUCUGGCAGGGAACCACUUAGUCCCCUCAUUUGCAUUUUCAGGCAGAUUUUAAAUGUCAGACAUAAUAAGCUUAACUGUGAUGGUUUUAAAAUAUAGCUUAUUAUGCAAACUAUGUUUGUUCUUCUCUCAGAUCAGAACCUUCCUAUUAAGACCACCGAGCUGCACCCUUCCUCUGCGCUUACCGACUGAUUGGGAUUCAUUCAUUAAAUCUCUGAUCAUUUACGGCAAUUUAUUUCACCCGUUUCCUUUGAAAUGCAUUAAAAAUAAUGAUGAGGAAAUCAUCUAACAAGCACAAAAUAACUCAAACUGCACAAACAGUUUCUUCUUUAUUUGCUUUAAAUAACUCGUAAAGGUAAUGUUUAUCUUUGACACAGUCUGUCCGUCACGCCUGCUCACCAGAGCCUGACGGACAAAGAAAAAAUCUUGUGAGCCUUCAAAUCCGACAAGAUUAAAACAUCCAAACAAACACGUUCUAAAUAUUAGCGACGGCGAUGAAGGGAAGUCAACGCCGAGUUGUUUGAAAUGUCAACAUAUGUGCUUUUUAGUUUACUCUCUCACACGGGGAUCAGACAAAUGUUUACGCAGACGUGACAGUUUGAGACACGCCUAGUAGACCUUUAAUUAAAGAGUUACAUAAAGAGUUUGCAAAAGGAAACUUAAAGCGGUCUUCUUUAAGUUUGGCUUUACUUUAGGAGGCUGUGUUUGACAUCUCUGUCACUUUACUGUCUGUCUUUGAGGACACUUUCACUUCAUUGUUUAUAACACACACACAGACAGUAGAUGGAUUGUGUAUUUUUCAUUACAGCGCCGCAGCUUCAAACUGAUAACACAUGUCGAUGUGUAGUUAGUUUAAUUUAUGCAUUGCUGACAAAUAAAGGACAAUUUAUAGGGAGUCAGAGCGUCAUAAUCUUCUGCAGAAACAGUAAAAGAUGAAGAGCUCCACCUUGUGGACAUAAACCUGAAACACAGCACAAAAUAAAUCAGAGAUGCUGCGUCUUACCUUUAGAUUUGUUACAUUUUGAGCAAACACACAAUUUUUUUUUAUUGUUUGUAUCUUAAUAAUCUUUUUUGACCACCCUUUUGAUUAUAACAGAGUUCAGAAAGUUUAAUCUCAGCAGGCUCUUAGACUGUGAAAAACAUGGACCCACUCUUAGUGACAUUACUCAUGGGUUUGUGAAGUGAGGUUUUGAUAUCCAGGAAACUUUAGGUGGAGUCGAGCCCCUCUGUUGGGCCUUUCGCCUCCUUGUUAAAAGCUCAAGUGUGCCUAUACCUGUCAGAUUAGUCCGCUGUGAAAACUAUGUGAAACUCUUCUCCUAAAUAUCCUCAAAGCUAAUGAAUUAAAAGAUCAUCACCUCCUGUAUAGUGUGCUGAUAGAGAAAUGAACCAUUCAGGCUAAAAUAGAUUUUGAACCAAUCUGUGAGCAUGUUUGUUUUUGCCGUAAACAGACUCUUUAGUAUGAAUGCGUACGCAACUUUGGGAGCUUUUUAGGCCAGCCUCCAGUGGACACUUAAGGAACUACAGUUUGAAGAACUCCAAAUUGGUGUAACAUCCCAAGACAAGAAGAUAAAAGUAAAAAAUGUCUUCAAUAAAGUUUUACCAAAAUAUCUCAUUGGCAAAAACUGAUUUUUUAAAAAUUCUCUGCAGGAACAUGUGUGAAUCAUGGGAAGUGUGGAUGUUUACGUUGCACUCUGUCACUACUGUCCAAUAAAAAAUACACACUAACAUAAUAUCUACAAAACCAGAGAUUCUAGAUUGUUUAAAACCACCAUCUCCCUUGGUCUGGCCCAUAUGUACUCAAAUUUGGCCCAGAACAACCUCAGUAUAAAAAAAGUGUAGCACAUCAACCAAAGUUUGAAAGUAUUGUAAUCUGGUGAUUUUGGCCACUCUAGAAAAAUGCAACAAAUGUAUGAGUUGAAACUAGAAAAGGACUUUAUCGAAUCCCAUCACUUCUGUGUCCACUUUCCUCCACUGGUUUCCUGAGCAUUUUAUAACUGACUUGAAGAUUUGACUGAUUACUUUUAGGUCUUUCCUCAAGUGACAAUAUAGCAGUCCUAGAUCCUCAGGUGGUCUGAGGUGUCGAGUCUCAGAUUGAAAAGGAGAUUAAGCUUUUUUUUUUUUUUUUUUCAUCAGAGCCGCCUGACUUUGGAUCGACCUCCCUGAGGAGAUAUGACGAACUGAAUCAGUGACGUCUCUUAAAUCACUUCUUCUACAGACUUGCUUUUAUAGGAUUCUUAAUUUAACUUUUCUUUCACAUAUUAUUUUAACAUUAUUAAUAAAUUUGUUCAUUCAAAUCCUCUUCUCAUCUUCUACCAUCUUUAAUCGCUUUUGUUUGUGUAGUCCGUCAAUGUUUUUCAAAUCAAGAGGCUAUUUUUUAAAUAAAAGUACUGCAUAUAAGAUUCUGCUUUCCAGUAAAGCUUCUGCACUUGCGAACGACAUCCACUAGAUGGCACUGCCUUCAAAUAGGAUGAGUAUAGUUGCAGGAAGUUGGUUGUUUUCCCUCCUCUCUGAGUUAUGCAUGCUUACAGAAAGUUGCUGACCUUGUGUGCACGCUGUCCUCUCAUUAAGUCUUCAUUAAAUUCUACUCUCUCAUGUAAAUUUUCUCUUAAUUUGAAGUACCAGCCUUUUCAAAGACUAAAAACACGCAGGGAUAAGUUUAGGGAACCGUUUCUAGGAUGAUUAAAAAAAAUUCAUAAUCAAUGGAAAGUGCUUUAGUGUCUCUCAUCAAAACUGAUUUUACCUUCAGAGGGAGAGAGCUGUGAUUAAUCUGCAACACUCUGACAGUCUCAUUUCUGCCGUUGAGAGCAUCCAUCAAAGUGAAAGGUCAAUAGAAAACGAUAAGAACUCUCACAAUAUUCACAGCAAAUCUGUCAUGUGACGAGCUGGAGGAGAGGAGAUUGAAGCUCGGGCUGCACAUCACUCAUCGAUCUGAACGAGCUGCAUGUUCAAAAUUCAGCACAAUAUGAUCGCAGGAGAUAAUUCGGUGACCAUAACUGCUCACUUGUGGGUUUUUUUUCCUCCUGCAGACAAAUCGUUUUCUUGUAUGGAUGCAGAUCCCAUAAAUCAAUGAACUUCCUCAUGCGGUUCUCAUUCCCGCUGUUCAUACAUGAGCGUGCGUGCCGGUUUUUUGUCAAAGUGCAUUGAGUGAUGCUGGAAACGGGCUCUUUAUGGGAGCAUUUGUCUGGAGUCCUAGAUGUGUUCUGCAUGGUGGACUUAGCCUCAGGAAGCGCUGGAGCGUUUCCUGGAGGACGAGCACUCGUGUGCUUAGAAGGUCAAGCACUCGCGCUGGAAAUCAUUAACCGUCCUUUUAUUUGCUCUCAUACUCCGCUUGCUUAUAUCGAUGAGAUCAGAAGUGACAAGGACGUGAAUUUACGGCGUCUUCAGAUCAUUUCGGACUGUUUCAGGUGUGUUUUUGUGUUUCUCUGAGGAGGGGGUGUUGAAUUGAAUUGCAGAUGUCAGUACAGCCGUAACCUCUGCUGCAGAUGCGUGGGGCGACACACAAGGUUAAAGCUGUAUUUGUUGGUGAAAAAUGGCGAAGAAGGCUGUAUAAACCAGUGUGUGUUUAUUAACAUUUUCAACCCGGCUGCCCAUCACUUCUUCCACGGGACCAUUGAAUCAUGUAAUUUCUGUCACGGGUGAAAGAUGAGGGGCUAGCAAGGCGGGACGGCGCGGCGGAUCUCACUAGUUUCACAUGCAUCCAGGUAAGGAGUCUGAAAAUACAGCCACUACAGUCUCUCCUGUGGAUUGGACCACGGAAACUGCCUGGUUGAGAGUCUUUCAUUUCACAUUCAUUAGAAAGGUUCUUAAAUUAAUGAGGCAGUGUCGACCACGCCGUGUGAUAAGAUGCAAUAAACAAGCCAAGGAUAUUUAUGACGCCUGUGUGGAAGUUUAUUACCUACAGUGGAGCUCGUGUCACAGCACAAGUCUCCUACUGUACGAAGGUGUGGAAGGCUUUUCUUCAUACUGCUGCAAACACAAAAGUAUAUACACUCCUUUUCUUUCUUUUCAUAACAGAAGCUGACAGUCACUUUUGACCUUGUUUUGACGGCAAAGAACAAAACAAAACAAUGUUGUUGGUUUUUGCUUCCUCCAAUAUUUUUCUGACACGCUGCUAACGAACAGAUUGGACUAAAUAUGAGCAUCACUCAGAGUAAAACUUUCUGUGCAGCCUCUGAACCAAAACUGUGGCUACAUAUUAGCGCUUUGGCUAUUCACCACUUUGGUUGCUCAGUUUUCCAGUUUUAGUUGUUAGUUGUUCACAUUUUAUCCAUCUUUUUGAAAUCUGGGUUAUGUUUUCAGUUGUUUUAAAGGCAGUAGACCAAACUAUAACAGAACUUCAAUGAGAAAUUGCCUCAUGAAGCUAGUCAACGGUUAACCUGUUGUUUAUUUGGUGAACAGGACUCUCCUCUACACUCUCCUAGCUCACUUUUUAAAGCUUUAUUGGUCUUAUUCUAAACAAAAGAAAAUUUAUGUUACCGACCGCUUGCUUCUCUAGUCGUAUUAACUUUAGUAACAACCACACAAUAGCAAUACACAGCGGUCUGAGGAGCCAUAAACAAACAUCAACUAAAACGCCACUCUAUAGGCACAAAUAAUGCUCAGAACAGCAACUAACUUCCUCACCAGGACAUAUAGGGUCCCAGCCAUAGUACUAGCCACCAAACAUCUUUUUAACUUUGACUAAUUUCUUUAGCAAGGAGACUAAACACAACUCACCUACUCUCUUCCAGCAGCCACUUGUUUAUAGCGAGACCUCAAGCCAGUCCAUUACGGACCAUUUAUGAUAAUUUCUUCAUGGAAAUGCAAUCAGACCGAGAUGCUAAGGCAGAAGAACUACCGUGUCUGCAGUGCAAGAUAAUUAAUAUGAUUAUUAUUACUUCAAGGAAAUGAUAAAGAAAUGAUCAUAAAUGUUCUUCCUUGAGCUGCGUCACCCCGCUGUAGUCUGUAAUGGACUGGCCUGAGGUCUUGCUACAAACAAGCGGCUGCUGGAAGAGAGUAGGUGAGUUGUGUUUAGUCUCUUUGCUAAAGAAAUUAGGCAAAGAUAAAAAGAUGUUUGGUGGCUAGUACAGUGGCUAGGACACUAGAUGUACUGUUGAUGAAGUUAGGUUCUGUUCUGAGUAUUAUUUGUGGCUAUAGAGUGGUGUUUAGGUUGAAGUUUGUUGAUGGCUCCUCAGACCGCUGUGUAUUGCUAUCCUGCUGUCAUUAACAAAGUUGGUAUGACUAGAGAAGCAAGCGGUCAGCAACAUUCAUCUCCUGAUGGGGUGUCUAACUCAGUGUUGCGGUGUGUUAAAUUAAUUUUAUGCCGGAAUAUCCCUUUAACUAGCGAACAGGUCGUAUGUAAUGCCAUGCUGUGGUCUACGUCCUUUUGAAGACGCUGGUAAUCGAAUAUGACCUGAGUGUUUCUAACAUGCUUUCUGAAGGUGUCUUCCUGCAGUUGAAGUCAAGCAUGUACACAAAUAGACGACACAGCGAGUCCAUCUUUGACCUUUAGCCCCUCUGUCUUGCACUCAUCAUGAAACAGCCUCUAAAAACGCCACCGAAUCCAUCUGUUGUUUUCAUCAGCAUCAUAAUGCACGGUUUUGCUUGACUGGUGAGCAUUAGUUGUACUGUACUUUAAACAAUGCAUUGUGGGAUACAAAGGCUUCCCUUUGUAGUGUUCAGUGAUUCUCAGCCAUGACCCGGACAGCGGAAAAAAACACACAACAUAAAAGCUCAUUCGUUGGUAUACGUAUUCUUCUAAAGAAAGAAGAAAAGGCAUUCAACAACAAACUACAACACAAAAUUACACGUAUCAUGUCUGUACAUCAGUUUUGAGAGAUAAUCUGAACGACUUCGAGUGCUUCAAUUAACAGAAAAAAAGAGACUGAGGAAUAAAGAGUAUCUCCUUUACACUUGAGAACAUCUCGAGUCUUUUCAUCCUCUCGUGUUGAAACCACAUCAAUUCAAAAGAAAUGGAAAUGCACUGUAAAGCGCCGUCUUCAGAUGAAUAAAUGGAAUCUGAAGUGAACAAUAUUUUAUGUAAUAGAGACGCCAGAAAAGACGUGAAGCCGUGGAACAUUGUUAUGCAAAUCAAAAGCGGCUGAUAUCAAAAGUAGCUGCGCAUACAGUGUGAAUCUUAUACAAUGAUCUGUGAUGUGAAGAGGAUGACAGCACUGGGUGUGAAAGUACACAACACUUAAGUGUAAUGUGACGAGGCUUCAAAAUCAAUGUGCCUCCUCCUAACUGUCCCUGAUACACACCCAACAAACAAACUUGAUUUGCUCAUGCCCUAAAAUAAUAAUAAUAAUACAUAAUGCAUCAGCGCACGCCACAUAGAUGAUGCCAAGUGUACGUCCCACUUCAUUAAUUCAUCCAUAAUGAGUUUUGCAGCAUGUAGGAGCAACUACCUUAGAGGCAGCCCCAAGAGUCAAAGCUAAUUAAAUCAGCAUCUUAAAUCCCAAUCUACACACAUCUGCCUUUGUUUGCAGAGGGGGAAAAAAAAAACAACAACACAAACCGGCCUCGCUCGCGCAAAAGUUACACAUGUGGACAAGUGGAGACACAAGUCUUCGAACUCUGCGCAGGAGAAAAAAAAGGGACUUUUUUAAAAAAGCUGGAAAAGCUGCAAAAAUCCAAAGGAGAUCCAAGCCAGCAGGGGGCUCUGUUACACAAACUAAUCAGCUAUUGUUAGACGAGUGAGUCAUCGAAUGCCAAAUCAUAUUGAUCUCCAUUAAUCUUUCUCUUUCUCUUUGUUUGUGUGCAAUCUCAAAAGCUGAAAAUGCAGCCUAACACUCUGUUGAAGUGUGAUGUCUUUUGCUAAUUGGUUGGAAGAAGUGUGAUUUACAUUUUUGGGAUUACAGAGAAGAUUUUUAGAAAAGCAGGAGAGUCCUCAUGUUAGUGUGUGUGUGUGUGUGUGUUUGUGUGUGAGGGGGGUGGGGCUAAUCAUCUGUUGUCCGCAGUCACUUCGACCUCCUCGAGGAACUUUAUCAGCAGUGAAGAGCUCUGAUUUGUGAGCCGUCUGGAUCUUCUUCUUCUGAUUAAAAAGGUGCAGAAUCUGAGAUAAUGAGCAGGAAAAGUGACCUUUCCUCUGAGGUGAAGACAGGCCUGAAAAAGAUGAAGAUUUUUCAGCAGCUUUUAUCACAUUCAUUCACUUUUGGCUCAGAAAUGUGUCGAUCAGUAACUCUACCCUGCUUUUCUGUCCAUUCAUGAUCUUGAACACGCUCAAAACAGACUCCAUACAUAUGCAUGCGAAUGUCUCUUUAAUGCACGCUAAGAAAUCCCCCUCAAUUCUUCAUCAGUAAGCAAAAGAAAUAGAGUUUUAAUUCCUUCUCUCCCAGGAGGAGCUCCAAUCUCAUCUCGUAUGCUCCCACAGAACCUCCGAGGUCGUGGAUUAUCUCCGUAAGAGAAGUCGUUUGAGUAACGCUGCUAAAAAACGUCAUAAGUCGUCAUUAAUCAUGAGGAUAUGUCAUGCAUCACACAGAGGUGGUUUGCCACAUCUGGUCUUUAGUCAUAUAUCCUAAUCAUGACUGUAACAGCGCUCCAAAUCCGUCCUCGAAUGCAUUAUUCAAAUUUAGUUCAUUAGAAAAGUCAUUUCAGCCGACAGUUUAGUCCACCUCAGACUUGGAGAGCGGCCCUAAUGACGUUAUGUUUCAUUGCAAUUCUCUUCUCCUGCUCUAGUCAUUUAAUAUAAUUCAUAAUGACAUAUACAUUCGCAAAAUAUAAAAGCAGGCAGAGGAAGUUGGAUAAGGGAAAUUGGAUUGUAGGGGAAGUUUCUGGUGUUUAAAAAGUAACUCGGAUGAGGCAAGUAGGCAAAAGACAAAGGUGUGGGGGAAGUAAGUGAUUAUAUUUACUGUAAUUAGACUUGAAAACACAAUAAGAAAAGUAAGUAAUGAAAGAGAUGACAAACAGUUCCAAAAACAGAGGUCAUCCAGUCAAAAAAAUAACAAGUUUCUUAAACAUACAUAUUCAACAGACCUGAAUGGAAAGACCUUAAGACUUUAUAAAAGGAAAACUAAAGUAACAAUUAAAGCAAAUAUCCGACUCAGACAUAUUUCAAGAUUAAUUAUCCACCAAACUAUCCAAGUAAGUUGAAUGAUUAAUCCAAAGUAAACACGAUGAAGGACAAGUUUUUGUUGAGUUUUUGGCGGGUCAUAAGUUCAGUCCUCUUCAAUCUUUGCUCGUCCUCAUCGUCGUUAGUUUCCUCUCAGCCCCUUUCACACUGACAGUUUAAACCCUGAUUAUUACUGAUGCCUCACUCUAAUAUGAACGCCACAGGGCGUGAUGGUAUCUGUCAUCAGAGGUAGUAACAGAGGUGAUAUAGCUGGAAAUGAUUGGAGGGAUUCUUUACACUGCUGUUGUCAGUGGACACAGGCCCUUUUUCAUGGCAGCUCAAACAAAUGAAAGAACAGAGAAAUGUCUUUCCUUCAAUCAUGAGCCAAAACGAUAGCUUAUUCUUUCCCUGUGUUUAAUUUUUGAUUAUGAUUGGUGACAGAUUAACUUGUUGCAGACUUAUAAAAGCUGACAUGGUGUAAUUGUGCAACAUUUGAGGAGCUAGACAACCAAUUAAAGUCUGAAUGCUCUGUUUUUGGGACUGUCUCUCAAAGCCUUCCGUUUGGAUUGUGUAUUUUCUCUGGAAACUUUCAAUGGGAGGGUUGGUACUAUAAAGCAGAUCAGUGUAAUUAUCCAUCCAAUGAGUUUGACAUUGUUCAACC
Molecule: long non-coding RNA, 14696 nt
Filed under: Xyrichtys novacula (pearly razorfish)
Lineage: Eukaryota; Metazoa; Chordata; Actinopteri; Labriformes; Labridae
Source: RNAcentral